This 450-nucleotide ribosomal RNA is filed under the name uncultured bacterium. RNAcentral describes it as "partial 16S ribosomal RNA". It matches the Rfam family "Bacterial small subunit ribosomal RNA", at positions 354 to 796 of the family's 1533-position model. The record is from RNAcentral.
GUGGGGAAUUUUGGACAAUGGGCGCAAGCCUGAUCCAGCAAUGCCGCGUGCAGGAAGAAGGCCUUCGGGUUGUAAACUGCUUUUGUACGGAACGAAACGGUCCUGGCUAAUAUCCGGGGCUAAUGACGGUACCGUAAGAAUAAGCACCGGCUAACUACGUGCCAGCAGCCGCGGUAAUACGUAGGGUGCGAGCGUUAAUCGGAAUUACUGGGCGUAAAGCGUGCGCAGGCGGUUUUGUAAGAUCGAUGUGAAAUCCCCGGGCUCAACCUGGGAACUGCAUUGGUGACUGCAAGGCUGGAGUGCGGCAGAGGGGGAUGGAAUUCCGCGUGUAGCAGUGAAAUGCGUAGAUAUGCGGAGGAACACCGAUGGCGAAGGCAAUCCCCUGGGCCUGCACUGACGCUCAUGCACGAAAGCGUGGGGAGCAAACAGGAUUAGAUACCCUGGUAGUCC